AUUGAACGCUGGCGGCAGGCCUAACACAUGCAAGUCGAGCGGAGGAAGGGAGCAUUCUUCUGGAUUCAGUGGCGGACGGACGGGUAAUGCCUGGGAAUCGGCCUGGCCUUGGGGGGUAACGUCCCGAAACGGGCCCUAAUAUCGCAUACGAUCUGAGGGUGAAAGUGGAGGAUCAUGGGACCUCGCGCUAUCUGCUUAGCCUAGGUCGGAUUAGCUAGUUGGUGGGGUAAAGGCCUACCAAGGCGACGAACCGUAACUUGUCAGAUAGGAUGACCAGUAAAAUGGGAACUGAGAAACGGUCAAGACUCCUCGGGGAGGAAGCAGAGGGGAAUUUUGGACAAUGGGCGAAAGCCGGCUGCAGAAAGGCGGGGGGUGUGAAGAAGUUUUUGGGAUGGUAAAGCACUUUAGGAUGGGAGGAAGGGCAGUAGGUUGAUACCUUGAUGUUUUGACGUUACCAACAGAAUAAGCACCGGCUAACUUCGUG
RNAcentral lists this ribosomal RNA (484 nucleotides) under uncultured bacterium. RNAcentral describes it as "partial 16S ribosomal RNA". It matches the Rfam family "Bacterial small subunit ribosomal RNA", at positions 30 to 507 of the family's 1533-position model. The record is from RNAcentral.